This 581-nucleotide long non-coding RNA is filed under the name Ananas comosus (pineapple). Its description in RNAcentral is "long non-coding RNA (ACOM_LNC007670)". The record is from RNAcentral. Lineage: Eukaryota; Viridiplantae; Streptophyta; Magnoliopsida; Poales; Bromeliaceae.
AAUGGUGCAUAAAUAUCUGGUCAAUUAAAUUAGUUUGUAGAAUUUGAUUGUAAUAAUUCUGAAAGUUCGAACUAGAAAUUAGAAUGAAUUAAAUUUUAAGGACCAAAGUUUCAGCUGACUGAUAGUUUGAGCACCAAACGAGCAAUUUACCUUUAAAUUUACUACAACAGAAUUAGGUUAUAAGGACAUAUUUUUGGAAUGCUUUUAUAUAAAUGUCUCAUUUAUUUUUAAAAAAUCUAGUAAGGCCUAAAUAUAAAGUCCAAUCAAAUAAAAAACAAAAAGUUAUUCUACUCAACCAACCACAUCCAACCCAUUCAGCCCGAUUACAAAUAAAAAAGAAAAAAAAAUUGAUCAUCAUCUCCCCUUCUCCUCCUUCGAGAGCUACGAUCGCCACAUAUCCCUCCGCCACAAAUCGUUGGAAGAUUGAAUGUCAAAUACCAAGACGGCCCUACCUAUAGCGACCCUACAUAUAGCAACACUUUUAAAAAGUGUUGGUAAUUUAACCAGCAGCAUUUUUUUUUACAUGUAUCGACAUUUAAAAGUGUCGUUAUAUACCGUUUUUAUUGUAGUGAAAAAAAAAA